Molecule: long non-coding RNA, 221 nt
Filed under: Lathyrus oleraceus (garden pea)
Lineage: Eukaryota; Viridiplantae; Streptophyta; Magnoliopsida; Fabales; Fabaceae
Description: Pisum sativum (pea) long non-coding RNA (PSAT_LNC035349)
Source: RNAcentral
CUUGAUAUGUUCAUCCUAACCGAUGACGGAUACUCUUGUUUUGGUAUUCUAUCCAGUAACCGAUAGAUGUAAUUCCUAUUUCUCCCCUAUGAGUCUAUCCUUGAUAUGUUCAUCUUAACCAGUGACGGAUAUUCUCUUUUCGGUAUUCUAUCCAGUAUUCGAUAGAUGUAAUUCCUACUUUUUUAGGAAGUUUAUCCUUGAUAUGUUCAUCUUAACCGGUG